CUCUCCCCAAAGGUGGCCUUCGGCUUUUGACCCAUACAGAGAUUGAAUUUGAAAAGAAAGGAGAAUGUUCAUUGAACUGGUUUGGGACAUUUUGAGAAGUGGAGAACAACUAGAAGUUGGGCUCAUAAGUGAGUGCUAAUGGUCAUAUUGAACUCUGAUGACUCCUUUCAGACAUCUUUUGGAAACAGAAGUU
This is a long non-coding RNA of Dromiciops gliroides (monito del monte), 193 nucleotides long. RefSeq lists it as uncharacterized. NCBI's taxonomy places the organism in Eukaryota, Metazoa, Chordata, Mammalia, Microbiotheria, Microbiotheriidae. The transcript has 3 exons. The record is from RefSeq and is a predicted model, not a curated record.